Molecule: RNA transcript, 3704 nt
Organism: Dromaius novaehollandiae (emu)
Lineage: Eukaryota; Metazoa; Chordata; Aves; Casuariiformes; Dromaiidae
Exons: 3
Source: RefSeq, a predicted model, not a curated record
CGGGCCGUAGCGCCCGCCCCCCGCCGCCCGUCCUGCCCGGAGCCGCCGCGCCGAUGCCACGUGGGAGGCGGCGGAGCCGCCGUCGGCGCCGGGCCGGAACCGCGGGCCCCCUGACGCUGGGGACGGCCCUCGCCGGGCGCAGAGAGGAGGGGAGGUCGCGGAGCCCCCGCGACCGCAGCGGGGUCGCCGAGACCCGAUGGGUCCUCGGAGCGGUGACGCCCGGCUCGCGGCUCGGCCUCCCGGGCCUAGAGGCGCUGGCGGCGGCGGCCGGGCCUAGAGGCGGCUCCCCGCCCUGGGCGGCGCCCUCGCUGCUCCAGGUGCCGGCGGCGGCCCAGCCGGCGCCGCGCCGGGAGGGCAGCGACCUGCCCGGCUGCGCGCCGGCCGCCCUGGCGGUGCUGCGGCUCCAGCCGGGCGCCGAGGGCUCGGCGCGGGCGGCGGCGGCGGCUGGGGCCGCGCCGCGCCUGCGGACCGUCUACGUGAACCCGCGCUGGCUGGAGCGGCAGGCGGCGCUGGGCGCGGCGGCGGCGGCGGCCAGCCCCUGCGCCGAGGCGGCGGCGGCGGCGAGCGGCGCGGCCGGGGCCCCAGCGGCGGCGGCGGCGGCGGGGCAGGGCGAGGCGGCGGCGGAGGCGGCGGCCACCCCUUACGUGGGGCUGCGGCGGCCCCUGGGCUACCAGCUGGCCAAGGCUACCAAGGAGCGGAUCUGGCGGGGGGAGUUCAUUGACCUCUUCUCCUUGCUCCACACAGAGCUGGCCCCCGAGCACGGCCCGCGCCCGGGGGACACGCUGGACCAGUGGGUCUCUGCCUUUCUGGUGUACGCCAGCGUGCUGUGCGAGAAGCACCCAGCCCGCUGCGGGGCCAUGUUCAAGUAUCUGGACACCAUCCGCAAGCUGCAUGCCACGUAUGGGGGCACCUCGUGGAUGAGCUACGACGAGGACUUCCGGCGGCGGGCGGCCAAGGACCCGACCCUGCCUUGGGGCGACGUGGACCUGGACCUGUGGAUGAAGUGGAUGGCUCCCCUCAAGUCGCUUGUCAGCAGGCAUCAGCAUGCUGAGAGCGAGCCGCAGGCCCCCCCGCCGCCGCCACCUCCACAGCUGCCCCCGAGCCCCAAGCAGGAGGAGAAAAGCCAGAUUUCUCCGUUCUCAAGAACAACAGGUCAGUUUUCAUUUUACUACAGAUCUUACGUGAGCACCAGACGGGCAAUGUCUCAUACAUUUCAUCUCAUCCGAGAUUGGAUCUUCAGCUUGUAAUGUUAACCAGACUUGUAACUUUCUUGAUAGCUGUUCUAACAGUACAGACCUUUGGACAGUUGUCUGCUAAGGCACUGAAGGUCUUGGUCCUCCUUAGUUUAAUGGAAAAUUUCCAGUUGAAUUAAGCAGUAGGAUAGGUUUUCCCCAUGUCUGAAAGAAGCAACCAGAAGUUGCUUGAAGAAAAGUUCUGUGUGUUUAUUUUUAACCAGAUAGUUUAUAAAACACCAAAAUAAAUUUAGUUUAAUGGUUUGUCUGAAUAUAAAAAUUGUAGUGCUUUAGAAGCACAAUAAAAGUAAAAGCUGUAUAAUUGUUCAGUGUGGAUUCACUACCUUUCCAUCGAUAUAGAACAAUUUUUAUUGAUAUCACUUACACUGUAAUUUGUAACUUUUAAAAAGAAAAAUGUCCUUAACUGAAAUAAUUGUCUGAGCAGCUGUUAAAUGUACAUGUGGCCUAGGAUAAAGCAUGAGGUUUUCAUUGGCAAGGCAGCAGCAAGGAAUGUUGCUGUUCUAAAGGUGACUUGUUUCCCCCCUGCCCCCAAGCUGUGACUUUGGUGUUUGAGAAGAAGUAGUAGAGAUUUAAAAUGGGAGAGAAUAGGCUUUUAUACACAGUAGGCUUUGACUAGAACCUAAGUUUUUCUAAUUCCAUAUGAUCAAGAGGAAGAGAUGUUUUACAGAGACCUUUUCUUCUAGAUUGUUUGAAUUGAUUUUUUUUUCUCAUAAAAUCAGAGGACAGCAUUAGGCAGUCUGACUCAAUUUCCUCUCUCUCAAUUGAAGGCUCCUUAAAUUUCAGCAUAUUGUAAGAGCCUAUGUCUCUUUAGCUCUGCAGUUCUGCAGAAGGUCAAUCAGAACGAAAAAAAAAAUCAAGAAAAGCAAAGCGAUGUGUUAGAGUCUGGCUGUCCUUUCUAAGGAAGCAGUAAAGAUCUAUGACUUUGUUUACACAGAAUGAAGUGAGAAACCCUGGUUUCGGUUUGAGUGCAAUAAUCAGCACAUACGUAAGAUAGCUGAGACUCAUUCCUGCAAAUUUGUCUCGCUUAACUUCAGGCGAUUCUCAAUUUUUUUUUUUCAGACCCCAUGAAAACAGAAGGCCAGUUGGAAGGGCAGUCAGACUAAGUGGGUGCUGAAGCUCAGUAUCAGAUCACUCAUACCGUCUCUCUCUUGUCCUGUUUUCUUCAUCAGAAUUCUGUUCUUCAGUAGUCCAAGCUGUGUCUCUUCACCGUCGUUGCUACAGAUUAAUCAUCACAGGCAUCUCCUGAGGAAAUUCUGUAAUAGUGACAGGAUGGGGGGGAGGCGAGGGGAAGGAAGGGAUGAGUAGGCAUUGGUCUCUUCAGUCCCAGUGAUGAGUUGCACAGUGCAGGGCUUAACCUACUGUCUCCCAGCUGCAAAGUGGCAACAGUUUCGGGUUUCCUGUCCUAUUGGGGAGUAGUAUACCCAGCUGGAGUCUGAAACGCUUCCUAAUGUUCUUUGCUGAGUCCUGCCAAGAAUUUGUUGGAUUUGUUUGUUACUCUCUAGUCUUCAUACAGUCUGGUGCCUUUCCUGGCACUCUGUCACCUCUCAGUUUCCCUGUGGCUGCUGAUGUUAGACUGGACCACCCUGUCUUCUUUGUCUGCUGUAGACAAUUGCCAGGGUUCUGCUUUGCUCUCCAGUGUCAUUGGCUGCUUUAAAACGGCUGCCUGCUUUCAUAAAGAAACUCGCUUUUCAAACUAUUAGUGGUGUUUUUGAGAAAUGUGGGGCUUCCUCUCUUGCUCUUUUUUUCUUUUUCUUUUUUUUUUUUUUUUUUCCCCUCCUUCACAAACUUGGCCUUUGUCACUGUCUUUGAGCCACCCAGUCACUGUGGUACUUGUGCUUCCCUGCUUUGGUAGCACGUGUACUUUCCCACUGACUGUUGUGCUAUAAGCUUCUGCAUGAAAUUUCUUUGGCUCUUAAUUUAUAGUUAAAAGUGUUCAACUUCAAUGGGUUUCUUCUCUUUCAAACAGUUAGUUACUGGGUGGAUUUGCAUAUGUCAAUGUCAUUGGAUGAAUCUUGCCCUUGCAGCUACUGAAGUUGCCAUGUCCUUGUUGCAUAGACCUGCUGGUUGUGUUGAAAGAGUGGUGCGGAAUUGCAUAUCCUCUGUGCAUCGUUGAUUUAUGAGUAGAUUCAUUUUGGUGGUUAUAAGCUAAGCUUGCUGUCACAUACAUACUAUGACAGACAGAAGGAAGGUGCGAGCUAUCUGAAAGCAGACAUUGAGGAUAACCAUUUAACUGUGAUGAGUGAAGAUAUACCACACUAGGUGAGAGGCUUACAGUGGAAAUGAACCAUGAUUCUUUUAUUCGUACAAUAACUGUGAUCUGUAGUGGAAAUCAUUGAUCUACUUUUUUUUUUUUAAUCCUGAUUAUUUCUGUAAGUUGUAGGAUGUUCUAUCUUCAGUGUUAUUGCAAUUUCAUAUUGUUUUCUGAAAAAUAAAAAAUGUUGAGCAUCUAUA